This 952-nucleotide ribosomal RNA is filed under the name Fragilidium subglobosum. RNAcentral describes it as "LSU rRNA". It matches the Rfam family "Eukaryotic large subunit ribosomal RNA", at positions 81 to 988 of the family's 3401-position model. Lineage: Eukaryota; Dinophyceae; Gonyaulacales; Pyrophacaceae. The record is from RNAcentral.
AAGUAAUUGCGAAUGAAUGGGAAUUUGUUCAAUCUGACAAGUGGGGCUUAAAGCCUUGGCAUGUAGUGUAAAACUGCAUUUCCAAUGGGGGGUUAAAUGGAUCCUCCUGGAACAAAGCACCAAUAAGGGUGACAUCCCUGUUUGCCAUUUAUUAACCCUUGUGUACUGCAUGCAUUUGCUGAAUCACGCUUUGGGGGAAUGAAUUGCAAAGUGGGUGGUAAGUUCCAUCCAAAAAUUUAUAUAACCUUGAGACUGAUAGUGCACAAGUACCUUGAGGGAAAAUUGAAAAGGACUUUGAAAAGAAAAUUAAAAGAACCCGAAAUUGCUGAAUUGAAAGCCAGCCAAACUUCCUUACCUUUUGUAGAACGCCGUUGUUUUGUUCCCCCACCGCCUCCAUUGGGGUUGUUCCAACCCCAUUGUUCCUCCUAAUUCCUUGCCCAUGCCCAAUUCCAAAAUUUCCUUUAAUGGCCGUUUGAACCCUUUCCUGGGGGGUAAAUUUUGUUACCUUUGGUGAUUUAUGAAUUAGGAAGGAUUUGUUUAGGUGGUGGGUGUUGGGUUUUGUUGGUAACACCUGUGUCCCACUGCAUGGAACACAUUAAAUNCGUAUUGGCAUAAUGGUUUUGCUUGACCCGUCUUGAAACACGGACCAAGGAGUCUAACAGGUGUGCGAGUGAUUGGGAAACAUUUUUUUGCGGAGUAAACGUAUGAGCUUGUAUGAUUGCGCAAGCAGUCAACUGACUUACUGAAAUAGGUUUGAGCUGGAGUGUUGCUGUUAAGACCCGAAAGAUGGUGAACUAUAUUUGAAAAGGGCAAGGUCAGGGGAAACUCUGAUGGAGGCUCAUAGCGAUACUGACGUGCAAAUCGUUCGUCAUACUUGGGUAUAGGGGCGAAAGACUAAUCGAACCAUCUAGUAGCUGGUUCCCUCCGAAGUUUCCCUCAGGAUAGCUGGAAU